AACAACUACAACCUCACUCAGCCUCGCCACUUCUGCAAGGGUUGCCGCCGCUACUGGACACGUGGCGGCGCCCUGAGGAACGUCCCCGUCGGUGGAGGCUGCCGGAGGAAUAGCAAAAAGGGCAAAAAUGGUAAUUCAAAAUCUUCUUCUUCUUCGUCCAAACAGUCUUCUCAAACGGUCAACACUCCAAGUUCUAGCUCAGGACAGCUAAGGACAAAUCAUCAGUUCCCCUUUUUACCAACACUUCACAAUCUCACUCAACUCGGAGGUAUUGGUUUGAACUUAGCCGCCACUAAUGGCAACAACCAAGCUCCUCACCAGAUCGGUUCAAGUUUGAUGAACGAUCUAGGGUUUCUUCAUGUCGGAAAUGGACGAAACACUUCAGCUCCGAUAACCGGAAACAUUCAUGACAGCAACAACAACAACAAUGAAAACAACCUAAUGGCCUCCGCUGGAUCGCUGAGUCCAUUCGCUCUCUUCGAUCCAACGACGGGGCUAUACGCUUUCCCUAACGAAGGCAAUAUAGGAAACAACGUCGGAGUUUCUUUUUCCUCUACUUCCAUGGUUGAUUCUAGAGCUUACCAGACCGCUCCGGUGAAGAUGGAAGAACAACCCAAUCUGGUUAACUUGUCUAGACCGGUCUCCGGUUUAACGUCACCGGGAAACCAAACAAAUCAGUACUUUUGGAACAAUUCGGAUUUCUCGGGACCUUCUUCUAACGAUCAUCAUCAGCUCUUGUGAGAUUUUGUGUUUUGUGGGAUCAUUAAUGUAUGUUAUGACGUGGAGGCUGAUUUAAAUGACUAGGAACGGUCAGGAUCAAAUGCAUGCAGAGUACGUGUGCGGGACUAUAUAUGAUCAUGGAGACGUAAUGAGACAACCGAAAAGGUAUCUUGAUUAGAGUGUGUGGAUUCAACAACUUAAGAUCGAUACUUAUUUACAUAUAGAUAUUCAGGUGUGUCAUAUAAUUUGUUUUGUAUUGUGUGGUUUCAUGGUUAUCUGAUUCUCAAAUUGCUAUACCUCGAUGAAUUUGUGUCGUUUGUCGGUUUGUGUAACAGUCCAACUUAUAUAUUCUUAAUUUUAACUAGAUCUCAUUGAAUGUAUAAUAUUUUUCAGCUAGUUCUACUAGUACUCAGUUUUCGUUGAAAUUCAAUUCGUUAUAGGUUUGCCUGACCAAAAUCGAGUAGUGAACAUUACUAACGAUCUAUCAUUUCUUGAUUAUUAAUAAAAAAUUAUAAUAUAUAAAAAGCUAAGGAUAAUUCAUAAAGUAAAAAUGGGCGUUGCUGACUAAGGAACAGGAACUUGAUCAUACAAAUCCGUGUCUCUCUGGAUGUUAUGUUUUAAAUUUCCCAAAAUACUAUUUUUUUCUCAUAUUUUUAGGAACUUCUUUUUCUUUUACAGUCUUCUUGUACGAAUCUGUGUGUCAGUCUGUUUUGUGUGGGUGCAUGAUCCUCUAUAAACAUUACUAAAUCUAUGCAAACCUUGUAUAAGUAUCUAUACAGAAUAAAUAAUAAUAUUUUUUUUGUUGCAUGGAUUAAAUCAUACUUACGUUUAGUUUACCCUUUCUUAUACACAUAUUUUCGGCUGAAUGUUGAAUAAAAGUUUGUAGGAUACAAUAAUCAAUCUAAAACCAGCUAGCUAGAUAAUUUUUAAUUAUAUUAAUAUUAAGCAAGCUUGUUUUCUUAACUGUAGAUUUUGAUCAGUUAGUGUAUAAUACUACCGUACUAGUAUAGUCUAAUGUGAAAAAUUUGGCGUCUGGUUUAGUGUUGAUGUUGUUGCAUUCUAUGUUAUUAAUUUGCAAUGAAAAUAACGAUUUUACAAGCAUAAUACGAUAGGGAAAAUAAAGUGGAGAAUAUAAUGGAGAAAACGUUAAACAAAGAUUGACACGGAAAACAAUGCGUGCAUAGAUUAAGUAUGUCCUGACCGGGACCCUCCAACUUUUAUGAUAGUCCCAGAUUUAACGGUAGGGUUAAAAUCAUUUUGAAAUGCUUUUUUGACUCAACCCUUUUUUCUUUUUUUCUUUUACUUAUGACUGUUUUCCUAAAAUUAAACUGUGUAAAAAAAUGUGUAUGCUACUACAUGAUAUAAUACUGUCUUUUUCUCAUCUGUAGUAUCUUAACCAUCUUUUUUAGCAAGUGUUGAGCAAACAAAAUUUACAUAUUGACAUCCAUAAUCCAAAAAGGUUUCAAAUACUACAAAACACAUUACACAUAUGAUAACAUUUCGUAAAUCCUUAUGCUAUUACUCCUAGAUUACGUACGUACUCAACUCCUUUUCUGUCAGAAUCAUUUCCAGCGUUGCUUUCAGCAUCAAAUUCAGAACUUUAAGCAUUAUCGUCAGCAUACACAUGGUGAGAUUCAGUCACAUAUCUUUCUCAUGUAAGAAAAAAUUUAUAACCAGUUAUAAAGUGACAAGUAUUACAAGAGUACUAUCUUAUGAUUUUUUUGUUUAGGUUCUCACUUCUCAGACGAGAACCAAUUUUAUCUCUCUAUUCAGUUUUCAAUUUUCUUAUUUACAUAAGAGACCACCACGUGUCACACUCUCACUGACGCUUCGUUUCUUCAGUCAUAAUUCCUCUCCCCCACCACUCGCUCCCUCUCUUACGUCACUGAUAUAAAAUUGACUUUUCUUCUUAAGACCACAUAAAUCUAUCUAAUGUCGUACUUAGUUCAAUUUGAUGAAUUUGGCGGCAUAUUCAUUCACUUUGGUUAGGGCAGUUGUGAUAAUUACUAUUCUUAAUCACGCCGGGGCAACUAAAGUCUUUUGACAUAGUUUUAUUUUUACGUUUUGUUUAUGAUUUUAGUUUCAUAGGGACAUACUUUUUUUUUUAAUCUCAAAGCUGUUAUGUAUACGCAUCGUUUGGUGGCCACUUGCUAGCGAAAUGUUCCCAGUCUAUUGUUUUGUCAACCAAUAUUACCAAACAUACUAACAUUAAGAUUUUUUUUGUGGUAAAAUUACUAACACUAAGAUGUUAAGUAUAUCUUGUUCGUUUGCUUAGUAAAGUUUUGUUUUUUCCAUUUCCCUUUGAAUAUUUGGUAGUCAGAAGUCUUCUUUUAUGCGGGAGCGUGAUUAAGGUUUUAAUCUUCCAAGUCAACCUUAGCUUUCACGUCAAUUUUGGCUUAGCUAACCGUUUAGACGUGCUCAUCUGGUAAACUGAAACUCCAAUCUAGUUGGACAAAAUUAUUUAUAUAUAGAGAACAUCCUAUAAUUAUUUGGACAAAAUAGACAUAAAAAAAAGUCUAAGCGGGCAAAAAGAUAGCAUACUUCCAAUAAAAUAGUAUUUAACAAUUUGCCACAAACAGAGGCAGCCUAACAACUACUCAUCCUACUUGAUUGGUUGGUGAACAUACUAUACCAGCGCAAGUGGCUUCGGUCUUAUUAAAAUAAUCCAAUUCUAGAAACUUUAACUACUUUCAAACUGGUCUUAUUUUGAUUUUUAAGCUCUGACCAAAACAAAUUAAUACUUAUACAGGUAGUUCUGUAAAAUAACUAUUUUUGUUUGCAUUGAAAAAACAAAAUCAAAGUAGUAUGAAAAACUUCAAUCCAUCAUAAAAAACAAGACCGAUAUGAAACAGUGUAUAUCGAAUAUUAAUAUUGAAUAUCUUACUAUUAAAAAAUUAUAAUAUUUUCUCUUAAAAUAAUGAAUUUUAUAAAUGUUAUAAUAUCAAUAAAAUAAUAGCAUUCUAUUAAAAAAAAAAAAAAUAAUAGCAUUUAAUACCUUUUCAAAUAAUAAAUGUGUACUACCAAAAUAACGAAAAGGAAAGUAAAUGAAACUAUAUAAUAAGAACAAAACUAAGGACAAAAAUAUUUUUAGUAAAUCCGUUACUUAAAAGCUAAAAAUUACUAGAUAUUAAAUUUAAUGUAAAAUGUAUUUAUUAGGGAAAAAAGAAAACAUGUAUUCAUGAUGGCGUGUGAGCGUUAUAUGUAUAUAUAUGAAACAGACAUUUGACGAUUUUCAACCAGUAGACCGGGCCAUCUCUGGCGGGUAAAGUAGAACCACAUAGCAGAACGAAAAGUCUCACUUUCUUGUUCAACGUCUUCCUCGUUUUCCAUCUUCUUCUUCCAGACACCUUCCGUUGCAUCAUUCAAGCCCUCUUCGGUUUUGUUGUUGUUCCUUAUGUUCUUCGGUUUUUAAAUACUCAACCAAUAACACCUGGAUUUAAUAGGCUAUUUAUUGUGUCGCUGAAUCGCUUACUUCUUCUUGAUCAGGUCAGCUUCUACCGGAUAAACUCUUUUAACAUUUUAUUCCUCUAUCCUUUUCCAUUACUUUCAAUUCGGGUUUUGAUUGUUAUUAUUAUUAUUUUUAACAAAUUGGUUCAGUAAAAUGGAUCAAGAAACACAUAUCGUUUCUUUGAUUGAUUACCUUUUUUUUUUUUUUUUUUUACGAUUUCAGACAAGCUACAUAGCCUGGUCUGUCUAAUUUUGUGUUUGUUUAGUACGUCCGUGUUGUUGACCUCCUUCUUCACACGUAAUCCAAUAUAUAUAUUUUUCUGCCGAUCCAAGGAUUCAAAAUGGGGAAGCGUUUGAAAAACGAGAAUACGAGCCAAAGACAUGGCAAAUAUUAUCACAAAUCAGGAUGGUUAACCGGAAUGCUUCAUCUGCUUGAUUUUCACCAUUGGAGAACUAAGAACCGCCCAAUCUGUAAGCCCAUCUCGUAAACUUUUAUACUUAUUUUCUUAAAGUAAAUUUUUGAUUUUAAAUAAAAUUAGUAAAUAUUUUGAAUGAUGGGCUACUCUGUGUUCAUAGGUUGGAAGACUCCAAGAACACAUUCCUUGGUGCAUGAAACUGAUGAACAAGAACCGUUUCUUGAUUCUGAGAAAGGAGAUUCAAAUAUGCUUAGUGUUGUUGCAGAGAAGCCAACGAGAAAACUGAAGAAGACGAUGACAACAAAGCAAGUAACAGAGUACGUUGAUUUUCUUGAAAUCUUGAGAAAACAAGAUGUUUUUGUCAAGAUACUGAAAGAUCCGAAUUCGGAGUUCGGGAAGCAAGUCCAUAUCAAGUCUAAUCCAAGAGUUUUGCCCAAGUCAGGCUCGUUUCCUCUCUCACGCUCUUCACGUCCCGCUAAGAUUGAACACAAGCAGAGGGAGAAUUGGUAUUCCCCAAAACAGAACGGUGCCGUUUUGACUUUGAAUGUUCCAAGAGACACUUCUCAGGAACAACAAAAACCAAUCUUACCUUCUCAUGGCUCACCUGAUGAUCAUGGAUUUAAUCACGCGGUGUUAAGUGGAUUUAGAGAAAUCAAGAAGUUACUCAAGAACGCGCUUAAAGACCGAAAGCACAAGAAGAAGAACAAGUAUGCUUCUGUCUCAAUAGAUGAUUCUGUGGGUAGAUACUCUCAUCUCUUGGAGCAGAGUUUUAGAACAAAAGUUGGUGAAUUACGUUCCAAGAGCUUAAAACUUUCAUAUGAAGAGAAAAAGAGUGAUUCGAGAGAUGAUAAUAAACCACAAUUCUUCAAACGGAUUUCGUCAUUGUCCAGCCUUGAAGUUCUUAGUUCAUUUCUGACCGACCUGCCCCGAGACAGUUCUACUUCCAAUCUAGAAGCUAGGAAAUCUUUAGAUCAAGAUACUAACGUUGUGCCCAAGAAAUCGUUAUUACUAUCUGAAUCUCCGCCAAAAACAGAGAAGGAAGAAAAAGAUGAGGAGCAAGAUGAGAGAAACCAAGAAAAUCAUUUAGACAGCCCAAACAAAAGAGUCCUGCAACAAGAUCCAGAUUCUGUUCCUAGUACCGGUUCCUCCGACAAUACUGCACAAAAGACGGAGACUUUACCCUCACAAGGUAAGCUCUUGAAUGAAACAGUUCAGUACUCUUUGAUAAGGGAAAUAUAUAUAUGCAAAUCUCAUUUCUAUAUAUGCUUGUUCUACAGGUUUAGAUCUAAGUUCUUUUAAGAUUUACAACCAUAAAGAAGAAGAAGAAGAUGAAGAUGCUUGCUUUUGUUUUGUAAAGAAGGUUCUGGAACUUUCAGGUUUCCUCGAAAACGAACACAACGUAGAAAAAUGUCACUCAGAGGAACAACCACUGAACCCAUCACUGCUCUACGAACUCGAUAUACAAGAAGAAGCAGUGAACAGAGAGCUUCUCUUUGAUUUGGUAAACGAAGCAAUCGCUGAGUCUCACAGCCAAUCACACAUCUAUUUCCCUAAAACAUUAGCGUUUGCAUUUCCAAAUGGGAAACGUUUUCUUGAAGAGGUGUGGGGAAGAGUUGAGUGGAGCCUCUCUGGGUUAGGAGCUGAGAAUAGAGAUCGUUCAUUGGACGAUAUUGUGGGAAGAGAUCUUACGAAGGGUGAUGGAUGGAUGAAUCUACGAGCUGAAUCUGAAUGGCUGACUCUUGAGCUUGAAGAUCUGAUUUUUGAUGACGUUUUAGAUGAAUUGCUUAGUGAAUGUUAGUCUUUUGGAAUGUCUCAGUCAGUUUUUUUUUUUAAUAUGUAUACAUGUAUAUAAGUGUUUGAUACAAAUUCAAGAUUUCUAAUUUCUGAGAGGAACAGCUGAUUGGCAAACAUGAUUCCAUGAUUUUGCAUGUUUUUUUUCACCACUCACAAUUUUUUGCUGAAUUAAUCAAUUUUUUACAAUAAACUAUAUCAUGCCAAAAAUAAGAAUCCCAAGUUUUUAGUAACACUGCUAAAUACGUCAUGCGCAAAACAAAAAAAAUAUAACGGGCCUUGCCAAAAAAUAAAUGUAACGAGUUUUUAGUUCCUCUUUUGGGCCGAGCCCAUCACUUUAAACCCUCGACCUCCGUCUUUCUCUUUCUUCACCGACAACCACCACGGCGACAAAUCCCCGAUCGAUCAAUUUCCUCGGCGGGAUACCAUCCUGUGUCUCCUCGUUGCUUAUCUCACUGUAACUCUCUUUUUUAGCUCGCCGGAGAACUGUCGGAGAUAAGUUGAUGUGGCUGAGCCGGGCGGUUCCCGUUCGAUAUUUGGGAUCCUAUCGAAGAACUCAAAAACCGCCAUGGAUGAGAUAUCCUGUUGUCUUCUACUCAGAUUAUACGGAGAAGAAAGAAAAAGUCGCGCCUAUGCAGGUUCGAUUCAUCAUCUAUUCACUUCAUCCACAAACACCCAAAACAAAACCCUCUCUGUUGCUCUUUUUUUUUUCCUAAAGAAUUUGUGAACUCUAAGUUGUGCAGGAGACUAGAAUGAGAGAUAGGUUUACGCUGUACGCAAGAGGCGGUGAAGGUGGCAGUGGUUGUUCCAGCGUCCGCCGGAGCCGUACCGAUCGCUACGGAAAACCUGAUGGUACUAUCCCGAAUUGAUGAUACAGAAAUGUUAUGUACUAUAAUCCAUACUCAUGUUCUAGAUUUUGUAUAGUUAGAACUAGAGUGCUGUUUUAGUGGAUGUAUCUGACAUGGAAAGAAUUUUCGAAGGUUGUAAAACAUGGAUUGUUCGAAGAAUGUUGAUGUUAAUUUAAAUUGAAAUUAGUUCAGGUGGAAAUGGUGGGAGAGGAGGUGAUGUGAUCUUAGAAUGCACACACGCAGUUUGGGAUUUCAGCGGAUUACAACCCCAUGUUGUAAGUUUACGCCUUUUUUUGGUGUGUGGGUCUUUGAAGGAAGAUGCAAUUCGCGUCGAAACCGAUUAUAUUAUCUAACUUUUAUGAGUUUUGCAGAAAGGUGGGAAAGCUGGACAAGGAACUUCCAAGAACAGGAUUGGAAACAGAGGAGAAGACAAGGUUUUGUUUUCUCUCAUUGGCGUUUCUCUGCUUCUUUCUUUUUAUCUUGGGGGAACUAAAAACAUCAUUUCGCAUUUUUGUGUCACACCACAGGUCCUGCAAGUGCCUAUUGGGACGGUUAUUCAUCUUCAAGAGGGUGAGAUUCCAUCUCAGGUUCAAGUUGACUCUCCCAAAGAUUUGGAUCCAUGGGACCUUCCUGGUACACUGGUUGAGGAUCCUGCAUCCGAGGAGAACCCUGAUCUUCAUCAAGAAAUUACGCAACACUCUGUUCAAGUUGAACCUGAGAAAGAAAGUGUAAAAAGACAUGUAGGCACGCCAGAGGAAUUUGAUUUUGAAGACGAUGAAGGAGACAUCGAUCAAGUCAAGUAUAAUGUUGCGGAAUUAACAGAACAAGGUCAGAGAUUAAUCAUUGCUCGUGGUGGUGAAGGCGGUUUGGGUAGUGUUUCCGCAACACGUUAUGUAAGAGGCACCAAGUUCGGUAAAACAGCGAUCCGUCAAAACAAGUUGAGGAGCAUGGAGGACGAAGCUGAUGAUGAGGAUGAUGAUGAUGAUGAUAAUGAACACUCGAGUAUUAAAUCUGGUUCCCUCGGUUCCGAGGCUGUCCUGAUAUUAGAACUCAAGAGCAUUGCUGAUGUUGGACUUGUCGGGAUGCCAAACGCCGGGAAAAGCACGCUUCUUGGUGCGUUAUCACGUGCUAAGCCCCGCGUAGGCCAUUACGCGUUCACGACGCUUCGUCCCAAUUUGGGGAACGUAACCUACGAUGACUUCUCCAUGACGGUAGCGGAUAUUCCGGGGCUCAUAAAAGGAGCUCAUCAGAACCGAGGGCUAGGGCAUAACUUUCUCCGCCACAUCGAACGUACCAAAGUGUUGGCUUACGUUGUGGAUUUAGCAUCGGGGCUAGACGGUUGCAAGGGAGUUACACCGUGGCAACAACUGAGAGAUUUGGUGAUGGAGCUUGAGUUCCAUGAAGAAGGGUUAUCGGAUAGGUCGUCUGUGAUCGUGGCGAAUAAGAUCGAUGAGAAUGGCGCGGAUGAGAGAUUGGAACAACUUGAGAGGAGAGUGAAAGGAGUGAGGAUAUUUCCGGUUUGUGCGGUUCUUGAAGAAGGUGUGGCUGAGCUUAAAGAUGGUUUGAAAAUGCUUGUAAACGAUGAUCGUGAGGGAUCGGAGAGACUAAAAUUGGAGAAUAUCUGUGUUGACUAGUUGAGUUUUACUUGUUGUCAAGUAUCCAAUCAAAUUUUCAGAUUUUAGGUUCUCUUGAAAAAUAGGAGAACAUUUCUUCACUUUUAUUUUAUCUUUGCAAUAUUUAUGAAAAAACACAAACUUUUCUGUUAAGUGAAUGUACACAAAUUCUACUGUCGAAAAAUUAACUUGAAUCAAAAAAGUAAAAACUCAAUGAAAACUGCAAUUAUUCCAAAAACAUUAUCCAUCAGUCCAUCCAUGUCUAUCAGAAUCCGAACAAUAAAAUUGAAAAGAAAUGUCAGUACCACUUUUGAAAAUAUAGGCCAAAUUAUUACGUAAACGAGGGGGCACGUAGGAAGUCUAAAAAGAGUUUUGGAUUUGUGAUGGAAAAAGAGGGCCAAUUAAAGUGAAUUCACCAAUUCAGGACCUUGAAGGGGCAAGAAAAAGCCAACGACCUCACCCUACUUAAUGUGUUCCCUAUUCCUUUUUAUUUUCUUUUAGCCAGAGACUUGACCCAAACAAUAUUGUGUGGUUCUUGCUUCUUCUUUUUUGGCGCUCCUCAACAUCACUAAGGGGAAAAGUUUAUACCUAUCUUACUUUCGGCAUCGGACACAAAAAUAGGCCUUGUUCAGAAGUGAUUCAAAAUACCAUAUCACAAAUCCAUAAACUUCGAUGCCGAUGUGAUCCAAAACUGUCUUUGAGAAAGUUUACGUUAUUUAGAAUUGUCGCUAUUAGUAGCAGGGACUGCAACAUACUUGAUCUGAGGGGAAAAAAACCCCAUAUAUAAGAUCAUGAGGGAAAUACACCAUGGUACACACAAUUGCUAAAAGAAAGUACACUAUAUUCAAUUUUGCACUAGAUAUAAGGGGAAAAAUACCAUGUAUAAAAUCAUGGGUUGCAUUUAUUUUCAACUGUCAGUUAAAUUGAGAUUAAAUCUUGUGGUUUUUACAUGAUAUCAACGUUCUCUUAAUCCAGAUGGAAAUUUAUCCUUUUUUGUUUGUCAACAAACAAAUUUUUAUCAUAAUAUUGAUAAGUAGUAGAAAGAACGUAGACAGUAUCUUGGGUUGUCAAAUGGCUACAUGAGGAUUACUAAAAAGAGGAUACUAACUAUGUACUAAUCUCUUGGUAAUAUAAAAUAAAUUAACAGAAGAUAAUAUAUCUCACUAAAUAAGUUUCCAGGACGUAUAAGAUAACAAUAGUUUACGACUUGGAUAAAGAAAGGAUGUUGUAUUAUAUAUAUUAAGAGUCUUACCAAAAAAAAUAUAUUAAGAGGAGGAACAACAUCCUCGUGAUAAAGACAUUAGCUAUUGUCAAAGACAUAAUAUAUAUUAAGCUUGAGUUCCUCCUCUUAACGGAGGAUAAUAUAUCUCACGAAGUUUGUCUUGACAAAAUUAUUGAUCUAGCAAGUUGCUCCUUGUGAUAAAGACAUUAUAUAUAUAUAUAUAUAUAUAUAUUGUAAUAAAACAAGUAUAUAUUAAGCAGAUGAAAGAGGCAUGCUUUAUGCCUCUUUUUUUGGUCGGCUGCCGUUUACUAAUAAAAUCGUAACUCUUGUAGCGUGUACGACCUUUUCCUUAUUCCAUAAUAAUUUGACGUUCUCCAUUUUACACGAUACUCUAAUUUCUUGCUGAAACUCAAAUAAAAUGUUAAUACAUUCUUGAAGCCAUUAGAACAAUCUAGAUAACCGAAAAUACUGGGCAAGUGAUGUUGUUUACGUAAUUAAGAAAAAGUUGAUGUUAUUCCGAAAAUACUGGGCAAGUGAUGCUCAGCUGCAUUUAUAGAAGAAACCGACAUAUAAUUUAAUGAUUACAUCAUCUAAAACAAAUUUUUAUCUCUUUUAGCCACUUCAUUUAAACAAUUUUUUUUUACACAAUAAUGUUUUAAUUUAAGACAACAGUAAUAAGAUUCUGUAUACAAAUUUUAAGGUUUAAAUUAAAAUAAAUAGCAAUUUUUUUAAUUAACACAAGAUGUGAUGAUCUCUCUGUUGAAAACUUGAAAUGCUCUUUGUGGUAACUUCUUCCAAAAGCAUUUCUAUUGAAAUUAUCCAAACACGAAAUGACACGUGUAUGGUGGAUAGAAAACCGAAUCUUUCUCUCCUCCUAUAAAUAGUGGUCAUUCCCUUUGUUCAAAUCACACAGCACAUAAAGAAGAACAAGAAGAAAAACAAAUUACAAAUUCAAAUCAAAGAGAAGUAAGAGAAGCAAUGGCAGGUUCUAACUGUGGAUGUGGCUCCGCUUGCAAAUGUGGUGACUCUUGCAGGUAACCCUUUAUUCUACCUUCUUUACCUUUACUUGCAUAUACGCAUGUGGUUGCUUUCUCCUUAAUUUUUUUUUGGCUUAAAUUUCAUCUUAUUAAUUACUGAAAUUUCAAAUAUUUGUUUUUUGUUUUUUUGUUUGGUGAAGUUGCGAGAAGAACUACAACACGGAGUGCGACAACUGCAGCUGUGGAUCAAACUGCAGCUGUGGGUCAAACUGUAGCUGUUGAAGGGAUUGUGGUGCAUAUCACAUAUUUGCAGGAAAACUGGGGGAAAAAAUUGUGUUUGAUGUUAAGAGAUUUGUGUGUGUUUGAAUAAUGACUUGGCAUGGUGUUGCGUAAUAACUCUCUUAACCUUGACUUUUUCCUGCUUUGUAUUUUUCUAUGUGUUGAAUGGUGUGAUUGUGUAAUGUUUUAAUUUGUAACCUAAGAACAAAAAAAAAGAAUAUAUAUUGACUAUUGUGAUUAUUAAGAUUUGUCUAUAUCUCCUCUCUCCAUAGUAGAGUAUAGGGUAGGGUUACUCAGCUAAAUGACCCAUGUAAAGUUGUUUAUUUUUAGAUAAAUGACCAAAUGGUAAAGAUACUGUA
Molecule: long non-coding RNA, 11672 nt
Filed under: Eutrema salsugineum
Lineage: Eukaryota; Viridiplantae; Streptophyta; Magnoliopsida; Brassicales; Brassicaceae
Description: long non-coding RNA (ESAL_LNC000656)
Source: RNAcentral